GUCCUUUAGAGUUUAUUAUUUAAGGUCUAGCCUGCCCACUGAAUUGUUUUAAAUGGCCGCAGUAAAUUGACUGUGCAAAGGUAGCAUAAUCAUUAGUUUUUUAAUUAAAAGCUUGUAUGAAUGGUUUAACGAAAUAAAAUCUGUCUCUAAAUAAUAAAAAGAAUUUAAUUUUUAAGUUAAAAAGCUUAAAUUUAAUUAAAAGACGAGAAGACCCUAUAGAUCUUUAUAUUAAAAUUAAUAAUUUUAUUUAAGAUUUUUUACAAAAUUAUUAUUUUUAUUAUUAUAUUGGGGUAAUAGGAAGAUUAAAAAAAUUCUUUUUAAUUUUAAUCAAUAAUAAUUGUUUAAUUGAUCCUUAAAUUAAGAUAAUAAGAUUAAGUUACCUUAGGGAUAACAGCGUAAUUUUUUUAGAGAGUUCUUAUCGAUAAAAAAGUUUGCGACCUCGAUGUUGGAUUAAAAAUUAUUCCAGGUGUAGAAGUUUGGAAAUUUUGGUCUGUUCGACCAUUAAAUUUUU
RNAcentral lists this ribosomal RNA (511 nucleotides) under Nebrioporus bucheti cazorlensis. RNAcentral describes it as "partial 16S ribosomal RNA". The stretch from base 387 to 511 matches the Rfam family "Bacterial large subunit ribosomal RNA", at positions 2473 to 2597 of the family's 2925-position model. The record is from RNAcentral. Lineage: Eukaryota; Metazoa; Arthropoda; Insecta; Coleoptera; Dytiscidae.